ACCUUGCUGAUGAGUGCCAAGUAGCACGAAACCCGAGUCCAGGGU
Schistosoma rodhaini is the source of this 45-nucleotide non-coding RNA. Lineage: Eukaryota; Metazoa; Platyhelminthes; Trematoda; Strigeidida; Schistosomatidae. The record is from Rfam.